RNAcentral lists this ribosomal RNA (497 nucleotides) under uncultured bacterium. RNAcentral's name for it is "partial 16S ribosomal RNA". It matches the Rfam family "Bacterial small subunit ribosomal RNA", at positions 28 to 507 of the family's 1533-position model. The record is from RNAcentral.
GAUGAACGCUGGCGGCGUGCCUAAUACAUGCAAGUCGAGCGAACAGACGAGGAGCUUGCUCCUCUGACGUUAGCGGCGGACGGGUGAGUAACACGUGGAUAACCUACCUAUAAGACUGGGAGAACUUUGGGAAACCGGAGCCAAUACCGGAUAAUAUAUUGAACCGCAUGGUUCAAUAGUGAAAGACGGUUUUGCUGUCACUUAUAGAUGGAUCCGCGCCGCAUUAGCUAGUUGGUAAGGUAACGGCUCACCAAGGCGACGAUGCGUAGCCGACCUGAGAGGCUGAUCGGCCACACUGGAACUGAGACACGGUCCAGACUCCUACGGGAGGCAGCAGUAGGGAAUCUUCCGCAAUGGGCGAAAGCCUGACGGAGCAACGCCGCGUGAGUGAUGAAGGUCUUCGGAUCGUAAAACUCUGUUAUUAGGGAAGAACAAAUGUGUAAGUAACUAUGCACGUCUUGACGGUACCUAAUCAGAAAGCCCCGGCUAACUACGUG